CGUGCAAACAGGGACUAGAGUGUGAGCAGCCAUGUGCUGGCAUCAGCAUGGCAGCAUGACAUGGCUCCCAAGGGCCCCACUUGUCCUCUCUAGUGAAAGUCUAAGUCAGUGCAGUCAUGCUUAUGUCUAAAACAAACACCCAUCAAGCACGUGGCUUUUAUCUUUCUAAUCACAGGAAAGCAGCCUAACGCGUGAUUGAAACUCUUCUUCGGUAAUUGAAGUUCAUCUGCUCUUGACCUAAUGCCUCAUAAUACAUUCUUGGAGCCCUCCAAAGGUGAACAGCUAAACAGAAGUGCUGAGAAUGGCAGUAGUGACUGAAAAGCAAACAGGAAUAUGUUUCAGACUCCGCAUCAGUGAUCUCCAAGUCAAAGCUGGACAACAAUGGUUCCUCCAAGAAGACACUGACCACUGGUAGUUCUUCACUCUCGUCCUUGAUUGUGUGCCACAUUUAUUACAACCAGUCUAAGACUAAAGCGAUGAUAUUUCCCCUUAAACUUCAGGUGCUGUUGUUCUUUUAUUUGAUGCUACCUAGAGAUAAUGCUCAUACCCUGGACCUUGUGAUGGCAGGCAGCAAAAACGUCUUUGUCACAGCAGCUGUCUUCAGAUUUCUGUAAUUUAAUUUUCAAUGAAUGUAGAAUAUGAUGAUUUAUUGUGAGUGCCUUUUGCAUGGGCUUACUCAAAUAUUUAUAACCUCAUUUAAAUAAUUAAUACAUGAGUUUUAAUAAACUGUUUAUAUUCACAAAAAGAAUGUAAUUUUCAGGAAGGCCUGUUCAGGUGCUAGCAACUACAGAUAGACCACAUUAAUUAAAAAUAAUGCCUUGCAUCUUGAGUUGAUAUGACCUUGUUCUAAGUAGUCAAAAGUUGUUUUCUUGGGGUGAAGAAGUGCUUCUAUUAAUCUGGUUAUGUGGUUAAACUAUGCACUGCACCGACUAUUGUAGGAAGAAAAAGAGAACGGUUUUCUAUAAGUCUGGGGACUAUCAAGAUCAACGUUUGUCCCAAGAAACAAAAUACACUGUAUUAAGCAUAUCGAUCCUAUUUAUUUAUUAAGUGUGGUUGCAAACUAUUAGCAAGAAAGAGAACAAGAUUUUAAUUCCCUAAGAUGCGUCUGUUUUUAUUACUACGUCAGGUCAGUAUUUAUUCAAACAUAAUCUAUCUAAAACAGCUUGUGACCAUCUUAAUAUAGUUAAUUGAAAUAAAAUCCUACUUAGAAAAGCAAUAACUUGAUAGGAAGCCAACUAGCUAGGACCUCAUGAGCUGGCCAGAGAACAGUGGUUUCCUUCUGUCUCUGAAGCCAAGUUAAGCACGUGGCUCUUGUAGAAUAUCUACUAGUGCAGGCCAAAGGAGAGCAGCUCUCACUUUGUCUCUUUUCUCUCCCUUUCUGUUAGGUGUUGGGGAUUUAGUUAAUCCUGAUGCAAGGAGCACACAGCGCUGAGCAGAGCUCAGAUCCCAGUGCAGAGUGGCUGCAAGGCAGAACUUCCCUGCUAGCGCUGGGCUCUCUCUGCAGUUCUCAAAAGCAAGACUGGGUUUGAUGCUAUACUUCUGCCCUACAUCCACACAGCACCUGACAACUAUUGAUUUGUUCCAGUUGAGCCAACAAUAGCAAUUACUUAUUGAGGCACAUCUCUCCAAUGCAUGUGUGGGAGAAGUCACCUUUUGUCCUGCUAUCAUUUACCCUCCUCAAAGUCCACUUAAAGCUUUCCAUGCACCACGUCACUGCACACAGAUGAGCACAAACAUCCCCAAAACAGAGCCACUGCAAGUCUGUGAUCCCCCACAUGAGCCCAAGUCUCUCUUACUCUGAGCGCCAUCCCUUGGAGAUGCCGACUGCCCUCCCUGCUCCAGGCAGGAUGAACUCAAAGUCACAUCACAAAGUCAAACACUAAAAGAGCAGGAAGAAAGGAAAGGAGGCAGAACGGUUUUUGUCUUUUCCUUUCCCCCCUCUUUGUAAGCACAAAGACAAGCUUAUAUAAGCACCACAUUUAGAAGGUGAUCACAAAUAAUUCAAACAUCAAACAAAUCCAUGCUUAUCUUGUAACUUCUGCUAUCAUAAAACCAAGGGUACUGUGCUCUAGGAACACCUCCUCUUUGCUGCACCAGAGGAAAGCACCAGUAAUCUCCAGCUCCAACAACAGAGAUAAAGGUAGCAAAUAAACCAAGGCUGAUACCAAGGAAGAAGAGGAAAGUAUUCAAAUUUCACCAGGCGCACAAUAAUUACUAAUUCACAGCAGAAAUGAUCACAGUAUUUCAUGCUUAUCCCAUGUAAUUCAUUCACAGCAGUAUUCAUUUUACUAUUAAUUUUAAUAGAAUAAUUACCUCUAUGAGGAAGAAAGAAACUACGGUUAGCAGGUCAGGUCCUCAGGUGGUGAAGAUAUGGUGAUUUAUGCUGGUUUGAUGAGUUUUGUAAUCUUCCUUUUUUUCUUCCUUUGAAAAGGAAUUUGGUAAUUGACUGGUUGCUAGACUUACUACGCUGCUAAUCUAUGCUAAAUGGAGUACAGUAAGAAGAAAUGGUGGCAAUGCUAAUGCUUAAUUAAACUAAGUUUUACACA
Molecule: non-coding RNA, 2546 nt
Organism: Coturnix japonica (Japanese quail)
Lineage: Eukaryota; Metazoa; Chordata; Aves; Galliformes; Phasianidae
Source: RefSeq, a predicted model, not a curated record